CACAUCGGGACUGAGACACGGCCCGAACUCCUACGGGAGGCAGCAGUGGGGAAUAUUGGACAAUGGGCGAAAGCCUGAUCCAGCCAUGCCGCGUGUGUGAAGAAGGCCCUCGGGUUGUAAAGCACUUUCAGCGAGGAAGAACGCCUAGUGGUUAAUACCCAUUAGGAAAGACAUCACUCGCAGAAGAAGCACCGGCUAACUCCGUGCCAGCAGCCGCGGUAAUACGGAGGGUGCAAGCGUUAAUCGGAAUUACUGGGCGUAAAGCGCGCGUAGGUGGCUUGAUAAGCCGGUUGUGAAAGCCCCGGGCUCAACCUGGGAACGGCAUCCGGAACUGUCAAGCUAGAGUGCAGGAGAGGAAGGUAGAAUUCCCGGUGUAGCGGUGAAAUGCGUAGAGAUCGGGAGGAUUACCAGUGGCGAAGGCGGCCUUCUGGACUGACACUGACACUGAGGUGCGAAAGCGUGGGUAGCAAACAGGAUUAGAUACCCUGGUAGUCCACGCCGUAAACGAUGUCGACCAGCCGUUGGGUGCCUAGCGCACUUUGUGGCGAAGUUAACGCGAUAAGUCGACCGCCUGGGGANGUNACNGGCCGCAAGGUUAAAACUCAAAUGAAUUGACGGGGGCCCGCACAAGCGGUGGAGCAUGUGGUUUAAUUCGAUGCAACGCGAAGAACCUUACCUACUCUUGACAUCCUGCGAACUUGUGAGAGAUCACUUGGUGCCUUCGGGAACGCAGAGACAGGUGCUGCAUGGCUGUCGUCAGCUCGUGUUGUGAAAUGUUGGGUUAAGUCCCGUAACGAGCGCAACCCUUGUCCUUAUUUGCCAGCGGGUAAUGCCGGGAACUCUAAGGAGACUGCCGGUGACAAACCGGAGGAAGGUGGGGACGACGUCAAGUCAUCAUGGCCCUUACGAGUAGGGCUACACACGUGCUACAAUGGCCGGUACAAAGGGUUGCGAGCUCGCGAGAGUCAGCUAAUC
This 975-nucleotide ribosomal RNA is filed under the name uncultured Halomonas sp. RNAcentral's name for it is "bacterial SSU rRNA". It matches the Rfam family "Bacterial small subunit ribosomal RNA", at positions 309 to 1273 of the family's 1533-position model. Lineage: Bacteria; Pseudomonadati; Pseudomonadota; Gammaproteobacteria; Oceanospirillales; Halomonadaceae. The record is from RNAcentral.